RNAcentral lists this ribosomal RNA (409 nucleotides) under uncultured bacterium. RNAcentral's name for it is "bacterial SSU rRNA". It matches the Rfam family "Bacterial small subunit ribosomal RNA", at positions 505 to 916 of the family's 1533-position model. The record is from RNAcentral.
GUGCCAGCCGCCGCGGUAAUACGGAGGGCGCAAGCGUUAUCCGGAUUCAUUGGGUUUAAAGGGUGCGCAGGCGGAUUAUUAAGUCAGUGGUGAAAUCCUCCCGCUUAACGGGAGAACUGCCAUUGAUACUGAUAAUCUGGAAUACGGUUGAAGUGGGCGGAAUGUAGCAUGUAGCGGUGAAAUGCAUAGAGAUGCUACAGAACACCGAUCGCGAAGGCAGCUCACUAAGCCGAUAUUGACGCUCAGGCACGAAAGCGUGGGGAGCGAACAGGAUUAGAUACCCUGGUAGCCCACGCCGUAAACGAUGAUAACUCGUUGUUGGCGACACACAGUCAGCGACUAAGCGAAAGCGAUAAGUUAUCCACCUGGGGAGUACGAUCGCAAGGUUGAAACUCAAAGGAAUUGACGG